RNAcentral lists this ribosomal RNA (253 nucleotides) under uncultured bacterium. Its description in RNAcentral is "partial 16S ribosomal RNA". It matches the Rfam family "Bacterial small subunit ribosomal RNA", at positions 524 to 776 of the family's 1533-position model. The record is from RNAcentral.
UACAGAGGGGGCAAGCGUUGUUCGGAAUUACUGGGCGUAAAGGCGCGUAGGCGGCCUGUUAAGUCGAACGUGAAAUCCCCGGGCUCAACCCGGGAACUGCGUCCGAUACUGGCAGGCUUGAAUCCGGGGAGAGGGAUGCGGAAUUCCAGGUGUAGCGGUGAAAUGCGUAGAUAUCUGGAGGAACACCGGUGGCGAAGGCGGCAUCCUGGACCGGCAUUGACGCUGAGGCGCGAAAGCCAGGGGAGCAAACGGG